This 113-nucleotide ribosomal RNA is filed under the name Mus caroli (Ryukyu mouse). Lineage: Eukaryota; Metazoa; Chordata; Mammalia; Rodentia; Muridae. The record is from RNAcentral.
GUUUAUGGCCAUACCACCCUGAAUGUACCCGAUCUUAUCUGAUCUCAGAAGCUAAGCGGGCCUGCUUAGUACUUGGAUGGGAGACCGCCUGGGAAUACUGGGUUUUAUGAAUA